GGCGACUUGGCCGAGUGGCUAGGCGGCGGUUUGCAAAACCGCUUUACCCCGGUUCGAUUCCGGGAGUCGCCU
RNAcentral lists this transfer RNA (72 nucleotides) under Pseudomonadota bacterium. RNAcentral's name for it is "tRNA-Cys". It matches the Rfam family "tRNA". Rfam says of the family: Transfer RNA (tRNA) molecules are approximately 80 nucleotides in length. Their secondary structure includes four short double-helical elements and three loops (D, anti-codon, and T loops). Further hydrogen bonds mediate the characteristic L-shaped molecular structure. tRNAs have two regions of fundamental functional importance: the anti-codon, which is responsible for specific mRNA codon recognition, and the 3' end, to which the tRNAs corresponding amino acid is attached (by aminoacyl-tRNA synthetases). tRNAs cope with the degeneracy of the genetic code in two manners: having more than one tRNA (with a specific anti-codon) for a particular amino acid; and 'wobble' base-pairing, i.e. permitting non-standard base-pairing at the 3rd anti-codon position. Lineage: Bacteria; Pseudomonadati; Pseudomonadota. The record is from RNAcentral. RNAcentral also lists the same sequence under 2 other names.